Molecule: ribosomal RNA, 410 nt
Filed under: Canis lupus familiaris (dog)
Lineage: Eukaryota; Metazoa; Chordata; Mammalia; Carnivora; Canidae
Description: SSU rRNA
Rfam family: Eukaryotic small subunit ribosomal RNA
Source: RNAcentral
UUCCGGCAGAGUACCAAUUGGAGGGCAAGUCUGGUGCCAGCAGCCGCGGUAAUUCCAGCUCCAAUAGCGUAUAUUAAACUUGUUGCAGUUAAAAAGCUCGUAGUUGAAUUUCAGCGAUUCUGUCAUUAUACCAUGUGGUGUAUUGUCGGUUUCGCCUUUUGUAUUACUUUGAGAAAAUUAGAGUGUUUCAAGCAGACUUUUGUCUUGAAUAGUGUAGCAUGGAAUAAUAGAGUAGGACGGAUUUCCUAUUUUGUUGGUUUGCGGUGUCCGUAAUGGUUAAUAGGAACGGUUGGGGGCAUUCGUAUUUGACUGUCAGAGGUGAAAUUCUUAGAUUUGUCAAAGACGAACUAUUGCGAAAGCAUUUGCCAAGGACGUUUUCAUUAAUCAAGAACGAAAGUUAGGGGAUCGAA